This 73-nucleotide transfer RNA is filed under the name Dermacentor silvarum. Its description in RNAcentral is "transfer RNA tyrosine (anticodon GUA)". It matches the Rfam family "tRNA". From Rfam's summary of the family: Transfer RNA (tRNA) molecules are approximately 80 nucleotides in length. Their secondary structure includes four short double-helical elements and three loops (D, anti-codon, and T loops). Further hydrogen bonds mediate the characteristic L-shaped molecular structure. tRNAs have two regions of fundamental functional importance: the anti-codon, which is responsible for specific mRNA codon recognition, and the 3' end, to which the tRNAs corresponding amino acid is attached (by aminoacyl-tRNA synthetases). tRNAs cope with the degeneracy of the genetic code in two manners: having more than one tRNA (with a specific anti-codon) for a particular amino acid; and 'wobble' base-pairing, i.e. permitting non-standard base-pairing at the 3rd anti-codon position. Lineage: Eukaryota; Metazoa; Arthropoda; Arachnida; Ixodida; Ixodidae. The record is from RNAcentral.
CCGUCGAUAGCUCAGUUGGUAGAGCGGUGGACUGUAGAUCCAUAGGUCGCUGGUUCGAAUCCGGCCCGACGGA